GGGUGGGUUCCAUUCACAAAGGAUCGUCCGGCACGUACCUGCCGGUGAAGGAGAAAAUCA
Molecule: non-coding RNA, 60 nt
Filed under: unclassified sequences
Description: msiK RNA
Rfam family: msiK RNA
Source: RNAcentral